CUGAUCCAGCCAUACCGCGUGGGUGAAGAAGGCCUUCGGGUUGUAAAGCCCUUUUGUUGGGAAAGAAAAGCAGCGGGCUAAUACCCAGCUGUUCUGACGGUACCCAAAGAAUAAGCACCGGCUAACUUCGUGCCAGCAGCCGCGGUAAUACGAAGGGUGCAAGCGUUACUCGGAAUUACUGGGCGUAAAGCGUGCGUAGGUGGUUGUUUAAGUCUGUUGUGAAAGCCCUGGGCUCAACCUGGGAACUGCAGUGGAAACUGGAUGACUAGAGUGUGGUAGAGGGUAGCGGAAUUCCCGGUGUAGCAGUGAAAUGCGUAGAGAUCGGGAGGAACAUCCAUGGCGAAGGCAGCUACCUGGACCAACACUGACACUGAGGCACGAAAGCGUGGGGAGCAAACAGGAUUAGAUACCCUGGUAGUCCACGCCCUAAACGAUGCGAACUGGAUGUUGGGUGCAAUUUGGCACGCAGUAUCGAAGCUAACGCGUUAAGUUCGCCGCCUGGGGAGUACGGUCGCAAGACUGAAACUCAAAGGAAUUGACGGGGGCCCGCACAAGCGGUGGAGUAUGUGGUUUAAUUCGAUGCAACGCGAAGAACCUUACCUGGCCUUGACAUGUCGAGAACUUUCCAGAGA
Molecule: ribosomal RNA, 632 nt
Filed under: Stenotrophomonas sp. Ri1Pw_5752
Lineage: Bacteria; Pseudomonadati; Pseudomonadota; Gammaproteobacteria; Lysobacterales; Lysobacteraceae
Description: bacterial SSU rRNA
Rfam family: Bacterial small subunit ribosomal RNA
Source: RNAcentral